GACGAACGCUGGCGGCGUGCUUAACACAUGCAAGUCGAACGGAAAGGCCCUGCUUGCAGGGUACUCGAGUGGCGAACGGGUGAGUAACACGUGGGUGAUCUGCCCUGCACUUCGGGAUAAGCCUGGGAAACUGGGUCUAAUACCGGAUAGUAGCCAUUUUUAGUGUGAUGGUUGGAAAGUUUUUUCGGUGUAGGAUGAGCUCGCGGCCUAUCAGCUUGUUGGUGGGGUAAUGGCCUACCAAGGCGGCGACGGGUAGCCGGCCUGAGAGGGUGGACGGCCACAUUGGGACUGAGAUACGGCCCAGACUCCUACGGGAGGCAGCAGUGGGGAAGAUUGAACAAUGGGCGCAAGCCUGAUGCAGCGACGCCGCGUGGGGGAUGACGGCCUUCGGGUUGUAAAAGCCUUGCGCGAGGGACGAAGCUUUUUGUGACGGUACCUAGAUAAGAAGCACCGGCUAACUACGUG
Molecule: ribosomal RNA, 465 nt
Filed under: uncultured bacterium
Lineage: Bacteria
Description: partial 16S ribosomal RNA
Rfam family: Bacterial small subunit ribosomal RNA
Source: RNAcentral